CGAGCCGCCCUGCAGCUCGCACCGCCGCGGGUCGCCCGCGCCGCCGCGCAUCCCUCGCCACCGGCCCUCGCCCGAGCCGCCCCACAGCUCGCGCCGCCGCCGGAACAACCCCGGCCCCUUCGCCGGUCACCGGAGGUACUACCUCGCCCCGUCGGCUCCCCCUCCUCGCCACUACACUUCGAUUUGACGGCGCCCACCACCGGAUCCGGCCGCCGGUGGCUCGGCGCCCACCACGACGGCGCCUCCUCCUCGCCACUUCACCUCUUCGGCGCUGCCUUUGCUCCCGCAAGCAGCCCGGGCCUCUCGGCGCGUCAUCCAGCCAUCCUCGCCGCGCCCCGCUGCUGUCACGCCGCGUCGAGGUGAAGUGGUUGCCACCGCGAUGGGUCCCCGUCCCCUUGCGCAAAGAGGCGGCGGGUCGACGUCAGCUCGUCGCCUCUCUGACGAUCUGCUCCGGCCCGAGGACCUCACCGUCGCAGACACGUUCCCCGGCCUCCCGCAUACCGUGCGGGUCAGGUGGAUGAGAUGAUGAAUGUGAACCAGAUGGAGGAGCAGGUGCCAAUAGCACAUCUGACUUGUGCCUGAAGGAUAGCAGGUUUGGGGUUCUCUUGUCUCCUCUUUUAAUCUGAUAAACCAUUUUGCUUAUCAACCAUUUAAUUUGGUACUCAUAGUGCAAGUAAAGAGAAGUCUGAUAAACCAGGUUGAUCAGCCACGUGCAAGUAAAUAUAAGUCUGUUGCACUUGGUAAAACUUUCCACUGUGAGACCACCUCAACUGGAAGGUAUUCUCUGCCUUUGAUCAAAGUUCAGGUCACCAGAAUAGACUUUUCUGCUAUGUGUGGUUAUUUCAGUGUUCGUUAAAUUUGCGACGGAAAGACUCGUUAGUUUUGUUCAAUGACUUCAUGUAUCCAGACUAUUUGCUGAAUAUCCAUUGGAUAAGAAUUCUUUGCAAUCCUGUUAGAAUAGAUAAAAACUGACAGGUCAAAGCUAUGUUAAAAUAACGUGGCAUAUUUCUAAAAAAAAGUUGUUAAUUGAUCUUCACAUUGUUAAUAUUAAUGCUUCAUUAAGCUUUUAUGCGGUAAGCUAAUGCCAUUCUGUGUUAUCACUUAUCAGUCUAAAGCAUCAGACCUGAAAAUGUGGAAUUCAUAUGCUCAUAGUCUGCUUCUUUUCUUUUUGUUAUACCUGAAGUUCUGUAUAUUUCUUUUAGACUGGUUGGAUUUGAGGACGCCCAUCCUUUCAAGACGAUUUGAAUGAUUAAGGACAUUGUUUCUUCUUAUAGUUGGUUAUGUGGAAAAUUUAUAGUAUUGCUGUAAUACAGGGUGAGGAGGAUCGGCUAUUGCAACAAGCUUGUGCGAUGUUGAUAGAAGAUGGUAACCAUGGAACUUUGCGACUGUUAGGUGCUGCAGAUGAGGUGGAUUUAGUUCUUCAGACGUCUGUUCAAGAAGAAGAAACCGGCGUCAGUCUGACAUGAGUGAAGUGUUUGGGGAUCAACCAUUUGUGCGAUCUGUCACUUUUGCUCUUCCUGGUAUCGACCUUGACGAUCUAUCUAACAAGGAUCUGCAUGAAUGGCAUGAUUUAUUGAUUGGCCCGAGCGAGGGUGCUGAUGGAGAUGUCGGCGUCCGGAGGUAGCGCCUAGGUGACUCGUGGCAGAUGCAAGCUAGCAGUUGGGCGAUAUGAAGGCGAUGAAGUUGCGUCGUCAGGCCACAUCUAAUGGAAUUUGGAUUUCACAAAUGGUGGCUAAUUGCAUGAAAACAAAUUUUAAGUCUUCAGACUUGAUUUUGUUUGGAUAUAAACAGCUAUGGAGACAAUACUUUCAGAAGUUCAGUGAUAUUUGGUUCAUGGGAUUAUGGCUGCAAAGUACAAAUAAAAAACUGCACACUCUAGAAUUAGAACAUGGAGUACAAUUAGAUAGGCUUUCAAUGGUUGAGUACCUUUUGGUUUAUCAAAUCCCCAGUAAUUCAGGAUCAAGAUUAUGACAUUAUGUGUACAAAGUAACAUGAGAGACAUGGUUGCUCGCAGUAAUUCAAAACUCUAGAUUCAAGUAUUUAUGUUAAACUUCAGUCUAGGUGGCACAAUGAAUUGAAAUAUUAGUUUAGUGAUAUUGGGUGCUUGGGAUUAGUGGAUUCAAAGUACAAAUAAGAAAGAAGUUGCGCAUUGUAGAAUUAGAACAUGGAGUGCAAUCAGAUAUGUUGUCAAUGGCUUAAGAGACUUGACUGCUUUCAGUAACUCAAAACUCAAGAUUCAUAUAUUUGUCUAAAAAAAUGUAUUUGUGUUAAACUUGCUCCAGUCUAGGCAUCACGAUGAAUCAAACACCACAACCGCGGGGACGCUAUCCCCGUGCUGGGUAAUGAGUCGUUUCCAGCAGCGAUAUGGUUUUGCCAAAAAAAAAAUCGACAAUCACGGAAUCACCUGCUGGAUCGAGCGCUGACUGCUACAGCCACAAGUUGAACAUGUCCCGCAAUGUCACCAGGUACAGUUUUGUUUCCUCUCUUUCUCCCAUUCUCUGAUGUAUGUGAUCUAAAGGUGAUAUGCUAUUACCACUGCACACAACAAAUUUGCAGAAAUGCCUAAUAUAAUAAUAUAGCUAGGAAUCUGGGGUACAGUAGAAAUACCAACUCGUCGCCAUGUCCCAUGUGUGUCUCCGUACAUGACAACAAAUGUGCUUCUCAACCUUAUUUUGAACUUCUUUCUAUCAUGUGAGGAUCAAAACAACAGUUCAAGACUGUGACCAUAAGAUGUUCCACUAGGUCACCGAUUUGUAUUUUGUGCUAUUCUUUUCACACACGGAGCAUGAAUAUUGUUUGCAUCAAAGUGAAUGUCUUAGAUGUUGAACGUUCUUUACAAGUAUUUUAUAUGAUGAAAAUUAAUACUUGUAUUAGUAAUUUGUUUCGAUCUUAGUAAUGAAUAAGUACAAAUCUAUUUUUGAAAAGCAAAUAUAUGAUUGUAAUUGAGUUUUCACAGGGUUCAUAAAGUUUGGAUUUGAAUGUAUGUUGAGAUAGGGUAUUGGUCAUUUGAUUUGCUUUACUAAAUGCUGCAUUAUGUUAGCACUUAGCAGAGGCAUUGUUAAACAACAUAUGAUAAUGCUAGUAUGAUAUAUUUAGUUAAAAGCAUGUUUGGUUCAGAUUCAUAGGAUGAUAUAUUUAGUUAAAUGUCACAUUUCAUUCCUAUUUUGUUUUGUUCAGAUUCAUAGGCGACCACUAUGAUUGUGACACUGCCAUAGCAGCCAAGAGAUAGCUUUUAUUUGGCCUUUUAUUUAAAGUUUCUAGAGUUAGCAAUUCUUUUGAAAAUUGGAAGCCCAAAUGAUUGGGGUUUUUGGGAGUGUUUACGUGAGUUCAUAUUUGGAAAGCUUUAGGAAGGAGAGAGGAUACAUGAUGGAGUCUGACAGACUGUCAGUGAGAAAAAGCACCAUGGAAGACCACAUAAGGUUUGAUUUCAGUUUUCUAAAGAUCAGAAAUGCCAUUUGUUUCUCUUUAGUUUGUUACACUGAGAAAAAUUGAGAUACUGAAAUGACUAGCACCAUUUUGGGACUUCUUUGGUCGGUCUUCGAGGAAAAAAAGUUGAGCCAGCUCUUCAAAUUGCAUAUUAAGAUGUAUGGAUGUUGUACUGUAUAUUUGUUUUGUGCAUUUAAGAAUACAUCAGCAUCUAGCAUAAAGUGAUUUAUAAAAUGCAUCCCUGACAGCACUAGCCAUGUCUUUAAUUAAUUACUGAUCCUCAGAAGGAUACCAUUAAAUUUUAUCUCAUAAGAUGUUGCAGCAUACUCCUAAUCUGACAUGAUGAUCCAUUUUUUUUUUUUGCUAAAGGGCACUGUUGCCAAUGUGGAGAAGAAAGACAUGGAGUCAAAUGACAUACUCCGCUUAGAACGGUUAAGGCGUGAGCUGAUCGAGUUAGAAAAGUGAGUGCAGAUGAUGCUCAAAAGGAGAAGGUAUGCCUGUUUAAGAAAAUUUUGAAACAGAAAACUACAGGUUCUACAGAAUUUGGGUGAACAUUUGGAAUGGGAGAUCAGCAAUGUUAUGAGAUUGAUUGCACUCUUUUUUGUUGUUAGCUGUUGUUUUCUGCUACUGUUUUAACAAUAGAGGAUGGUGUCGCUGCUACAUUUUUUUCUGCAACUGUGCCUUCCAGUGAGGCUAGCAAGAAGGAGAAUAUGGUAAUUCUGAACUUUCCAGCCGUGCCGGUACAUUAAUUUCAAAUUCAAACCUCACUUCUACAAUCUGAUGAGACUAACUUAUAAAUUAUUGCCAGACAACGGUGUGUGUCUGGUUAACAGCCUAACUCAUGUCGAGCACUUCGUUUUGUCCAAAUAUUUAAGUUUAUUUUAUUUUAUUUAUGUUUACUAUCAACAUCUUGUAUGCAUAAUUUCUUUUACAUUCUGGUUGGUCCAACAUUAAAAGACUCCAUAGUACGAUCUUCACCUAUCAGUAUCAAAAUUAAUGUGUACUUUAAAAGUUAACAGGAGGCUGGGGGCUCAAUUCGUUGAGGAAGAGGAGGAUAGGAUGGAGGAGGAGGACGCCGUUGGAGAUGGCACGGAUGAGGUGUUGGUGGUGAGAUAGGAGCGUGGCACAGGAGAGCAUAGUGGCACAGGAGAGCAUAGGUCGAGAUGCAAAUGGAGUGUUGGGCUUUGAAAGGGUGGCAUCGCUAUGAGUUCAGCUUACAUGGGAAUGAAUUAAAAUCUCAAUGUAUGAUGUUGUUGAUAUUUGUCUCAUCAUAGAAGUUAAGACUUAUGUUUCUUUGAUUGGAAUCUAUACAAAUGACAUGGUCUUCAUUGAAAAUAUCAUAUUUUUUCUA
Molecule: RNA transcript, 4777 nt
Organism: Panicum virgatum (switchgrass)
Lineage: Eukaryota; Viridiplantae; Streptophyta; Magnoliopsida; Poales; Poaceae
Gene name: RING-H2 finger protein ATL70-like
Exons: 6
Source: RefSeq, a predicted model, not a curated record